RNAcentral lists this transfer RNA (72 nucleotides) under Morus notabilis. It matches the Rfam family "tRNA". Rfam says of the family: Transfer RNA (tRNA) molecules are approximately 80 nucleotides in length. Their secondary structure includes four short double-helical elements and three loops (D, anti-codon, and T loops). The record is from Rfam by way of RNAcentral. Lineage: Eukaryota; Viridiplantae; Streptophyta; Magnoliopsida; Rosales; Moraceae.
GGACAUUGGGUCUAGUGGUAUGAUUCUCGCUUUAGGUGCGAGAGGUCCCGAGUUCGAUUCUCAAAAUGUCCC